UCGCUACUAUUAGGGUUCGACUAAGCCAUGCAAGUCGGAGGGGCUCUUCGGAGUCACAGGCAAAAUGCUCAGUAACACGUCGUUAAUCUAACCUUAGAUUCGGGAUAACCUUGGAAAACUGAGGCUAAAACCGGAUAUGGGAAAAUAAUUGGAAAAUGUUUUCCUUCAAAAGCAAUGUCUAAGGAUGAGACGGCGGCGGAUUAGGUUGUUGGCGGGGUAAUGGCCCACCAAGCCGACGAUCCGUAGGGGCCGUGAGAGCGGUAGCCCCGAGAAGGACACUGAGAUACUGGUCCUAGCCCUACGGGGUGCAGCAGGCGCGAAACCUUUACAAUGCACGAAAGUGUGAUAAGGGAACCCUAAGUGCUCAUGUUUUACAUGGGCUUUUGCCAAGAGUAAAUAUCUUGGCGAAUAAGUGGUGGGAAAGACUGGUGCCAGCAGCCGCGGUAACACCAGCGCCACAAGUAGGGACCACUACUAUUGGGCCUAAAGCGUCCGUAGCCGGUUGAAUAAAUUUCUUGUGAAAUUGUUGGGCUUAACCUAACAACGUGCAGGAAAAACUGUUCAGCUUGGAACCGGGAGAAGUCAGGAGUAUGCUGGGGGGAGCGGUAAAAUGUUAUAAUCCCCGGUAGACUACCAGUGGCGAAGGCGCCUGACUAGAACGGAUUCGACGGUGAGGGACGAAAGCCAGGGGAGCGAAGCGGAUUAGAUACCCGUGUAGUCCUGGCCGUAAACGCUGCGAGCUAGGUGUUGCAUAUUCUACAUGAAUAUGCAGUAUCGAAGCGAAGGUGAUAAGCUCGCCGCCUGGGAAGUAUGGUCGCAAGGCUGAAACUUAAAGGAAUUGGCGGGGGAGCACUACAAGGGGUGCGGCGUGCGGUUUAAUCUAAUUCAACGCAGAGAAUCUCACCAGAAGCGACGGCAGGAUGAAAGUCAGGCUAAAGGUCUUACUUGACGAGCCGAGAGGUAGUGCAUGGCCGCCGUCAGCUCGUGCCGUAAGGUGUCCUGUUAAGUCAGGCAACGAGCGAGACCUGCAUCUACAAUUGCUAACGGGUUCUUUUGAACGACUGAGCACAUUGUAGAGACUGCCCUGGAAACAGGGAGGAAGGUGCAGGCUACGGUAGGUCUGUAUGCUCCGAAUCUUCUGGGCUACACGCGCGCAACAAUGGUAAGGACAAUGGGAUGCAACUCCGAAAGGAGAAGCUAAUCCUCGAAACCUUAUCCAAGUCUAGAUUGAGGAUUGUAACUCAUCCUCAUGACAAUGGAAUCCCUAGUAAUCAGAGUUUAUCAUACUCCGGUGAACAUGUCCCUGCUCCUUGCACACACCGCCCGUCAAGCCACCCGAGUAGGGUUUAGGUGAGAGGCAAAUUUUAUUUGCAUCGAACCUAAGCACAGCGAGGAGGGCUAAGUCGUCACAAGGUA
This 1416-nucleotide ribosomal RNA is filed under the name metagenome. Its description in RNAcentral is "bacterial SSU rRNA". It matches the Rfam family "Archaeal small subunit ribosomal RNA". The record is from RNAcentral.